UCCAGGUUGAUCCUGCCUCUGCCUGUCCAUUAUGUGGAGUGUGUAAUGCCGCUUUCAUUCACCCAGGUUUCCUAUUCUCUCCCGGGACAGGGUUUCUCUGUGUAGCCUGCCCUCGAACACACAGCGAUUGGGAUCAAAGGCAUGUGCCACCACACUCGGGAAGUGAAUGCAUGUGUUCAUGAAGAUGUAUGUCCAAGGCCAGAAGGAGGAAGGAGCUUUCAGCUUUUACACAGAGCCUCAGUAGCUUCCUGGACUGCCUGGGGAGUCAGGUUAGCCCCGAGCCAGGCUUGUUUGGAGACAGACUCAAGGGAGCAGCCUCCACAGCAAGGCGACCACAGAACAGAUGCCAAUUAUUCCAAGUUCAAGGUAUCAAUACAUGCACUGUUCCAGCACAGCAAGAUAGGAUGUUUAUUUGUGAUAAAUAAAUACUGGCCCUUUCCCUCCCUUAUGGGGCCUUGAGGUCUCUUAAUGGCAUUUUAAAUCAUUUCGGAAACCCUUAAGAGACAUUUCAGUCCGUCCGUCAUAUGAGUGGAAAGUGCCUCCAUGGGUGAGUGUGGAGCUGCAUGAAUUUCCAAGUGUCUAUCAGGUUCAAAAAAUUCAAAACAAACAAGAUAAAGGACAUGUGCCCAGGCCGGAAUAUAAAGCAUUCUUGAAAACGAGAGGAGGAUGUCUGAAGACUGCCAACGGGGAAGGAAAAAAAGCUAUUGAUUUAGUUUCCUUCUAAAAUGAGUCACAGGUGCUCAGAUGAACUGAGUCAAAAGGAAG
This is a long non-coding RNA of Meriones unguiculatus (Mongolian gerbil), 765 nucleotides long. RefSeq lists it as uncharacterized. The transcript has 3 exons. The record is from RefSeq and is a predicted model, not a curated record. NCBI's taxonomy places the organism in Eukaryota, Metazoa, Chordata, Mammalia, Rodentia, Muridae.